Zea mays is the source of this 3917-nucleotide RNA transcript. RefSeq lists it as uncharacterized. The transcript has 16 exons. The record is from RefSeq and is marked validated. NCBI's taxonomy places the organism in Eukaryota, Viridiplantae, Streptophyta, Magnoliopsida, Poales, Poaceae.
CCGUGCCUGCCGCAACCCCCAUGCCCCAUCCCCCUCCACCUGCCAAAAUAAAUCCAUGCGCUCUCCAGCUCGGUGCUGCAAUCCCAUCAAAAGCUAGGGUUUCACGCCUCUCCCGACUUCACAGUUCACAUUCCUCUCCUCCCCUUCCCACCUCCCCAACUCGGCCGCCGUAGACGCGGUGGCGCACGAACUGCCCUAGAUUUGAGCGAGCCACCCUGCGAAUCUUCACCUGACGCACAAAGUCUGUCAGAGACAGUGAAGAAUUCGAACACGAUCUUAAACAUCGUUGAUUAAGACCACACACAAACACAUCUACCUGGCUUCCCCCCUAUCAGUUGUUUUUGUGUGUUUUUUUUUGCUGUUUCGGACGAUUCAUAAGAACCGACCUGCAAGGCUUGCAGAUCUACCUUGAGAACCAGGGCCCUUGUUUUGGACGUCCAGAACGAACCCUUGACCCUGCGGAUCUGCUUGAUCCGUUUUGGAUCUGCUUGUUUUUUUGCUGGAUCUGGAGAGAAUGUUCAAGUCGAUGGUUUAUUACGUGAACACCUCAAUCGGAGAGGUGGAGGUGUGGCCCAAGGGCGAGGCGAGCGCGGGCCUGACCAUGGCGGCGUGGGCGCGAGAAAUCCGCGUUGAACGCAUUUCCCCGCCCAGCGAGCGGUGCCCUCCGCUGGCCGUCAUGCACACCGUGGCCGUCGGCGCCCGAUGCCUCGUCAUGGAGUCCAGGCCGCCCGUUGUCGCCGACGUUGUGCCGCCUCUCGUCGUCAUGCACACCGCUUGCCUCAGGGAGAACAAGACUGCGGUUGUUCCACUUGGAGAUGAAGAGUUGCAUUUAGUUGCGAUGACAUCCAGAAGAAACUUGACAAAUCAUGCAUGUUUCUGGGGCUAUAAAUUGCCAUUUGGUUUGUAUAAUUCUUGCUUGACCAUGUUAAAUCUUCGGUGCCUGGGUAUUGUAUUUGACCUUGAUGAGACAUUGAUUGUCGCCAAUACAUCACGGUCUUUUGAGGACAGAAUUGACGCACUUCAAAGAAAGCUGAGUAAUGAGACUGAUCCACAACGUAGGAAUGGUAUGCUAUCAGAGAUCAAGAGGUACCAGGAUGAUAAGUCCAUCCUAAAGCAAUAUAUAGAAGGUGAUCAGGUCUAUGAUGAUGGAAAAGUGUAUAAAGCACAACCUGAGAUUGUUCCACCAUUGUCUGAUAACCAGCAACCAAUGACACGUCCAGUUAUAAGAUUACAAGAUAAAAACAUUAUCCUGACAAGAAUAAAUCCUCUGAUUAGGGAUACCAGUGUGCUUGUAUGUUUAAGGCCAGCCUGGGAGGAUCUUCGCAGCUACUUAAUUGCCAGAGGUCGCAAGCGUUUUGAGGUCUAUGUGUGUACGAUGGCUGAAAGAGACUAUGCUUUAGAAAUGUGGAGAUUGCUUGAUCCAGAUUCAAGAUUGAUUAAUUCUGUUCAACUCCAUGAUCGGAUGGUGUGUGUAAAAUCUGGUUUAAAAAAGUCCUUGCUAAAUGUCUUCCAUGAUGGUUCUUGCCAUCCUGGUAUGGCAUUAGUAAUUGAUGAUCGCCUGAAAGUUUGGGAUGAGAAGGAUCAAUUACGAGUUCAUGUGGUUCCUGCAUUUACUCCAUAUUAUGCUCCUCAGGCGGAGGCAAAUUGUUCUAUCCCAGUUCUGUGUGUAGCCAGAAACGUUGCAUGCAAUGUUAGGGGUGGUUUCUUCAAAGACUUUGAUGAAGGCCUCUUACCAAGGAUUAGCAAUGUUCACUAUGAGGAUGAAGUAAAUGAGAUAUCUGCGCCAGAUGUUGGCAAUUAUUUGAUAACAGAUGAUGAAAAUGUCGCAUUAGUGAAUGGGAAUAGAGAUUCAUUGCCUUUUGAUGGUAUGGCAGAUGCAGAGGUUGAGCGGAGAAUGAAGGAAGCCAAUGCUCAAUCAUUCCAUCAAACAGCGGGAGACUUUGUCAUGCCAGUAGCCCCUGCCCAGAAUUUCGUUUCGACUUCAGUUGCAUCAUUAGCCCCACCUCUUGGCAUGAUGCCAUCUCCAUUUAGCCAGCCAGUUGCUCCACCAGGUUUUUCAGAUUCACUGCAAGGUUCUCCAGCUAGAGAAGAGGGUGAAGUUCCAGAGUCUGAGUUGGAUCCGGACACAAGGAGAAGGCUUCUUAUAUUACAGCAUGGCCAAGACACAAGAGAUCCUACAUCUCCACUACCAGCAAUACCACCCGUCCAAGUUCCAGUUCCUCCAGUGCAACCCCAUGGGAAUUGGUUUCCCACAGAGGAUGGGAUAAACCAAAGUAACCUGAAUAGAGGCUCAGCAGGAUUCACUGUAGAAUCUGAUUCUAUUGUCUAUGAGAAAAAGCAACCACCUCAUCCUUCAUUCUUUCAUGGUGGGGAUAGUCCUAUGCCGUCUGAUAGAUUUGGCUAUCAGAACCAGAGGUUUCCCUCUCAGCUACCACACGAGGAUCACCCCAUGAUGCAGAACCAUGCACCUCCAAAAUACAGAUCCUUUUCUGGUGAGGAACUAGCAUCUUGGCAUGUUCCCUCAAGCCAGAGAAACAACCAGAUAGAAUCAGGAAGACACUUUGCACAAUAUGCUGGGACCUCUGCUGGCAUAUUAGAGGGGAUUGCUCUGAAAUGUGGUUCUAAGGUGGAGUACAAGUCAGCAUUAUGUGAUACUGCAGAACUACAAUUCUCUAUUGAGGUUUGGAUUGUUGGGGAAAAGGUCGGUGAAGGAAUUGGUAGGACAAGGAGAGAAGCACAACGCCAAGCUGCAGAAAUGUCUUUAAGAAACUUGGCCAUAGCAACAGAAAUGUCUUUGGUUACUCUGGAAAUACGAGGGAUGAUAUGUUGCCACUUUCAAGUACUUCCGAGGAAUCUCGCUUUAUGAAAAUGGAGAACAAUAAUUCCCGGAAAACAGGAAGUUCUGUUGCUGCUCUCAAAGAACUUUGCACUGUUGAGGGAUAUAACUUAGUUUUUCAAGCCUGUCCAUCUUCAGCAGAUGGUUUAGUUGGGAAAGAAUCUUAUGCUCAGGUACAAGUUGGUGGACAAAUUCUAGGCAAAGGAGUUGGGUUAACAUGGGAAGAGGCCAAGCUCCAGGCUGCUGCUGAGGCUCUUGGAACUUUAAGAUCCAUGCUAGGUCAACUUGGUCAUAAACGAUCUGGCUCUCCAAGGUCAUUGGCACCAAAUUUUAACAAGCGGUUCAAGCCAGAUUUUCCAAGGACCGUACAAAGAGUUCCUUACGGAACAUAUUCUAGGAUCGAAGGUCAUGUUCCUUAAGAGGUCUGCAUAAAUGAUGUGCCUGGGCGCUAAACUUCAAAACUGGAUGAAGCUUUGAACUGUCAGGUCUUCACACAUUGAAUGCAAGCCGUAGAUUCCUGGCUUAUAGUUGGCUUCCAAGGCUCUCACAAGCUGCCACUGGCUGAGAGUACCGACGAAUAUAAAAUACGUACUUCAUUUAAGUAAGCGCCAAGAGAUUGAAGGAUUAAUGGUGGCCAUAACUUUAUGCAGAAUUUCAUUGCCAUGAUCUUACCAGUCACAAGUGUUACCCCAUGUUGUCAACUUGGCAUAAUCGUUGACCUGGAAGUUUAACGGUUGAACCAGGGACCGGCAUGCAGCUCCAUUUCUUUUUUGGUGUGUGUCCAUGGAUCAAAGAGCAGCGCCGUGGUUGGGCAUUUUUACCCUUCCUUUGGUUUAGGUGAAAGUUGGACCUCUGUAGCUCGGAGUCUUAGCAGGUAGCCAGUUUUUAUUUCUGAUAAGUUUUUAGGCAAGUUGUAAGUUGUAGCACAAAAUCGAUCACUUGAUAGUAUUAACAUUGCAUUGAUGUAGACAUGUAGUCAUCUUUGUAGCUGUACUCUAGGCAAGCAACACGAAUCCAGUGGCUUACAUCAUUCAUUUGUAUGCUGUAGUCAUCUUGUAAUAUAUGGCCCAUUUCUUUGCAA